GCGAGUCCGUUGGUUUUUGUAUUUUGUUACGUCAGACCGCCAAAAUGGAAGAGGAUUAUUAUAUAUCUAAGCUUAAACAUGUCUCAAAACUGGACUUUCAGUCAAAAGUGGACGUGAUUACCACAGGUAGACCAACGCCGGAGCUAAAAGGAUACGUUUGGAAAGUCUGAUCCCUUCCUGGAGUUCUUUAAGAAGGGAGACGAUGGAAAGUGGCAGCUGGUCCACAGAACCGAGGUGGUGAAGAACAACCUGAGUCCCACCUGGAAGAAGUUCUCUGUUCCCCUGCAGACGUUCUGCGGCAGCGACCUCGACCGACCGCUGAAGGUGGAUUGCUCUGAUUACGACAGCGAUGGAACUCACGAUCUGAUUGGUUCCUUCACCACUAAAGUGUCCGGCUAUAAAACGUUUGACGACUUCCUGUCGGCCGGCCGGAGGUCGUUAGUAAACUGUCGACGUGUCGUCCUCCCAGGUGUCCUUUGACUGCAUCCACUCCGAGAAACAGAAGAAGAAGAAGAGCUACAAGAACUCUGGAGUCGUCUCUUUGAAGAGCUGCAAGAUGUCGACCCAUCACUCCUUCCUGGACUACGUGAUGGGCGGCUGCCAGAUCAACUUCACCGUACGGCGACACCAACACACACACACACACGUUUUAAAGGCUUUAUUUUAACCCACCAAUCACAUUCAAGCGAUUAAAAUAAGAUAAACAUGGCAACAUUUUGAUUUUGAAUGAUGGAUCUCUUGUG
Molecule: long non-coding RNA, 743 nt
Organism: Pseudoliparis swirei
Lineage: Eukaryota; Metazoa; Chordata; Actinopteri; Perciformes; Liparidae
Exons: 5
Source: RefSeq, a predicted model, not a curated record